RNAcentral lists this ribosomal RNA (505 nucleotides) under uncultured bacterium. RNAcentral describes it as "partial 16S ribosomal RNA". It matches the Rfam family "Bacterial small subunit ribosomal RNA", at positions 29 to 523 of the family's 1533-position model. The record is from RNAcentral.
AUUGAACGCUGGCGGCAGGCCUAACACAUGCAAGUCGAACGGUAGCACAGGAGAGCUUGCUCUUCGGGUGACGAGUGGCGGACGGGUGAGUAAUGCAUGGGGAGCUGCCCAAUCGAGGGGGAUACCAGCUGGAAACGGCUGCUAAUACCGCAUACGCCCUGAGGGGGAAAGGUGGGGACCUUCGGGCCUACCGCGAUUGGAUGCACCCAUGUGGGAUUAGCUAGUUGGUGGGGUAACGGCUCACCAAGGCGACGAUCUCUAGCUGGUCUGAGAGGAUGACCAGCCACACUGGAACUGGGACACGGUCCAGACUCCUACGGGAGGCAGCAGUGGGGAAUAUUGCACAAUGGGGGAACCCUGAUGCAGCCAUGCCGCGUGUGUGAAGAAGGCCUUCGGGUUGUAAAGCACUUUCAGUGGGGAGGAAGGGGAGUAAGUUAAUACCUUACUUCAUUGACGUUACCCACAGAAGAAGCACCGGCUAACUCCGUGCCAGCAGCCGCGGUAA